This is an unclassified non-coding RNA of Macaca mulatta (Rhesus monkey), 147 nucleotides long. It matches the Rfam family "Metazoan signal recognition particle RNA". Rfam says of the family: The signal recognition particle (SRP) is a universally conserved ribonucleoprotein. It is involved in the co-translational targeting of proteins to membranes. Lineage: Eukaryota; Metazoa; Chordata; Mammalia; Primates; Cercopithecidae. The record is from Ensembl.
GCCGGGCGUGGUGGUGCGCGCCUGUAGUCCCAGCUACUUGGAGGCUGAGGCAGGAGAAUGGCGUGAACCCGGGAGGCGGAGCUUGCAGUGAGCAGAGAUUGUGCCACUGUACUCCAGCCUGGGUAACACAGCGAGACUCCGUCUCAA